This is an RNA transcript of Marmota monax (woodchuck), 5031 nucleotides long. It is a transcript of the gene named phosphomannomutase 2, with no coding region annotated. The transcript has 9 exons. Lineage: Eukaryota; Metazoa; Chordata; Mammalia; Rodentia; Sciuridae. The record is from RefSeq and is a predicted model, not a curated record.
GCCCUGCGGCGCGGGUGCCGGACCCGGAAGUUCCGGGUCGAGUACCUGGUGCCAACUCAGGUGCCAGCGCGUCCUAUCGGGUGCGCUCGGAAACUGCAGCCAUGGCGGCGUCUGGCCCAGUGCUGUGCCUCUUCGAUGUGGAUGGGACCCUGACGGCCCCGCGGCAGAAAAUUACCAAAGAAAUGGAUGACUUUCUACAGAAAUUGAGGCAGAAGAUCAAAAUUGGAGUGGUAGGCGGGUCAGACUUUGAAAAAGUGCAGGAGCAGCUGGGAAAUGAUGUGGUUGAAAGAUAUGAUUAUGUGUUUCCAGAAAAUGGCUUGGUAGCGUACAAAGAUGGGAAACUAUUAUGUAAACAGAAUAUUCAAGGUCACCUGGGUGAGGCUCUGAUCCAAGACUUGAUCAACUACUGUCUGAGCUACAUUGCAAAAAUUAAACUUCCCAAGAAAAGGGGUACUUUCAUUGAAUUCCGAAACGGGAUGUUGAAUGUGUCCCCUAUUGGAAGAAGCUGCAGCCAAGAAGAACGCAUUGAAUUCUACGAACUGGAUAAAAAAGAAAAUAUAAGACAAAACUUCGUAGCAGAUCUGCAGAAGGAGUUUGCAGGCAGAGGCCUCACGUUCUCCAUAGGAGGCCAGAUCAGCUUUGACGUCUUUCCUGAUGGAUGGGACAAGAGGUAUUGCCUGAGACACGUGGAAAAUGACGGUUAUAAAACCAUUUAUUUCUUUGGAGACAAAACCAUGCCAUGAAUGUUCUCUGAAAGCAGUUGUGACUUCGGGCUCAGAACUUCCAGCUCCUGGUGUCACCCUUCCAUACUGUGACCGCCCAGAAGGCUGCUUGUGUUCCUGCUGAGCCAUGAGUUUUGCUGGCUCCCAGGGAAGGAGCCCGAGCUCUUUGUCAGUAAAGAGCUAUUUCCCUGCAGGCACUGAAGGCCGCGCUUGCUUUUCCAAGAAACCCUUCUUCCUCCCCAGCAGCCGCACUCAGACCUGGCUCUGAGUUCAGCUGACAGGCCUGGGCCCGCCUACGCCCACCUGCGCCUGCAGGGAGAGAGCCUAGGGACACACCCAGCCUGGUCCACCUGCUGAGUCCCCCAGCCACUCUGGCUUCUCCCAGAACCCUGGUUUGUUGAAAGCUGCUUGCGAGCAGCACCGUGGCUUUCAGGCAUUAGAAAUGUGAAAACACUUCAUGGUGACUGCCCCGCGCUCCACCUUGGGCAGCUGAGCUCUGGGUGUCCUGGCAUGUGUGCGCCUGGGAACUGAGGAGACCAGCCCUUACACAGUGGUCCUGGGGACACAUCUCUGCAGUUUCCUUAGUGCCUGAAGCAAAGUGCAGGACCAUAUAAGUAAAGUGCUACGUCUUUGUCUAAAGUGGGGGAAAUAAUCUCUCACCUCAGCUUGCGCUGUGUGAAGGGAGCCUGAAAGGUAAAGAAACACUCAGCAGGUACCAGAGGGGCGAGCAGGGGCCUGGAGACUGGCCACCAAGCUCUUGUCCUCUUUAGACGCUUUUCCCCCAAGUCACCUGGCUCCGGGCACACCCCAGGCCGAGGUCUGGGAGAUUCAGAUGGAUGCAGGUGUGUCCCCUGGCCGCCGUUCUCUGGGCAGUCUGAGGUGCAGCCUGCGGUAGCACCAGGAGACCCAUCUUCAUUUUGAACUAUGUGAAUAUGGGGAUCUUGUUUGUUUUCUGAGGAUUUUUUGUCGUCGUGCCUGGACUUGAACUCAGGGUCUCACACAAGCUGGGCAAGUGUUCUACCACUGAACUACAGCCACAUCCCAGAAUGUUCUAUCUGUUGAAAGUAGACUUUGAAAAUAUCAGAUUGAGAAAGGAAGCUGCAGUUUUCGGGCACCUCUCAGUUCAGACCUGAGCAGGACGCGGGGGAGGCGUGGGCCCUGCUGGGCUCUCGGCCGACAGCCGGGCCCCUUAGUUCCCAUCUUGCCCUUCACCUCACCACCUCUGCAAGCCAGCGGCUUCCUCCCCUUCCCACUAAAUGUGCAGCAUUUUACUCUCCUGAAACGUGAACAAGACCACCUGUCUUUAAUAUUGGAUUGCGGGCUGGGGAUCAGCUCAGUUGGUGGAGUGCCUCCUCCCCUGUACAAGGCCCUGGGUUCCAUCCCCAGCACCCCCCCCCCCAAAAAAAAAAAUUGAGAGCAUGGGUCAAGAGGUUUGUAAACCAAAAAGAUGGAUGUGGCCCUGCCACCUGCCCCUGCAGUAACUACACACAAGCCUCCGUCUCUCUGAGGUUCAGUUCCCCUGUGAAUCAGCCGUACCUGGACACAGUGAGGUCCUGAGAGGGGUAACAAGCCCCUGGCUCAGAGGGGGGGUCAGGGUGUGCCCUCUCCCAGCAGCCAGCUGUGCUUCCUUUAGGAGACACUGGAAAAGCCUGGCUCGGCCUGGAAUCCCGGCCACGUGGCAAAGCUGUGUCCGAAAGGUCUGGGACGGGGUUCAGUGGUGGAGCACCCCUUAGGGCUGCAAGAGCCUCCCCCCGUUACUGAGGUCUCAGAGAUUGGGACCUGCCAGGUCCCAGGAGACAGGUCCUCACCGACUCCAGGCUCUCGUCUAGGCUCCCCGCUGGCCCUCGAGUCAGAGGGUCACCAGGGUUCACCACUUGACUGUGGGGCUCAGCAGCAGCCUGUGCAGAUGGGGUGGGGAGUGCCAGCCCCAGGAACUGAACACGGAACCCUGGGCCUCUAGGGAUUUGAGUGUUAAGGGGCGAACUUCCCCUCCUUUGGGCCUGUAACAGAUUGCCACAGAAGCAUGCUGCUCUUUCUCGCCUCCUCCCCCUUUCCUCGGGGAACAUGCUUUUUAUUCGUGGAGCCUCCCCUAAUGGAACCCUAGCCUUUGGUGCAUAUGCAAAUCGAGCAUUUGAAAUUUCCGAUUCCCUGAAGCCUUAUUCUAGACGCCUUCCUCUGAGGAGCUCAGGGCUUGGUUCUGUCUGAGCUGCAGACUUCAGGCGCCUGGGAAGGAGCCCCCUGCCCUGAAACUGACUUGGAAGGAAGAGAGUCCCUUGGUGGAGAAAGGAAGGCCUGGGGUGGCUGGGAAGGUGCUUGGGAGGAAGAUGCCCUGGCAGCCAGCAGAGCUGCAGGGCACAUGGCUGGAUGCCAGGGUCCUCGGGGGUUCUGGAGCAGCAGGUAGCCUGACUCAGAAGCCCAAGGCCAGCAGGGCUGUGGGGGCCCUUCCUCCAGCCACUGGACACACCCCAUCACAGUAUGUGCCCAGCUUCCUCAGACCGCCACCUUUUUUAGGCUGUUUCCUGAUCCGGGCCAGGGUGAGACUUGCAGGAAGGCACACCAGGUGAGGAACAAGACCGGAGCUGUGCUUCACCUGACGUCUCCCGGACCUGGCCUUGGGCAGGUCCCACCAUUACCCCAUUCUGGGCAGAAGAGCCUUCUGUAGCCACACCCUCAUUCAGUCAGAACCAAGGUCCAACCCAGGCCACCCGCUGCAGAGACCAUACCCUUAGCCAGCCACCAGCUGCAUGGGGCCAUCUAAAUGUGAUCAAAAUCAAACUCAGCUCCUUGUGGCCCUACCUACACUUUGAGUGCCCAGUGACCCCAUGUGGCUAUGGUCAGCACUGAGACAACUGUGCACACUGUCACAGCUAGCUGCCCGAGGCUGUCUACCCUGCCCCAUCCUUGUGAUGGAGGAGCUUGGGCAUAGGUAAGACGAGUUGAUGGCUAUGAGGCUGCUGUCACUCCUACACUUGCUUUAUAGCAAAAUAAGCCUUAGAUCUUCACAAGAGCAUCGUGAUUUCCUUCACAGGGAUAAUUACAUGUUCCAAGCCCAGUUGGGGUUCAAGAGGAGGUUAAAAUCCUUCCCAAGAGUGCUCGCGGCGUUCCUCCCCUGCAAACUAAGAAGUAACUGGAAGUCUCCCUGCCCUGGGCGGCAAUGACCACGAGAUCUUCACAGACCCGAGAACCGUGGGCUACACUGUGACAGCACCCGAGGACACACGCAGGAUCUGUGAAGAGCUCUUCUUGUAACGAGGGUGGGGAGGGGGUCCCUGGGCCAAAGCCACGGCCCCUCCUCACACACACCCACUCCCAGGCCAGCUGUCUGCACUGUCCAGCUGUGCACGGUGUGGACACCACCACACUGGGCAGCAGGAUCAGCCUCCACCCCCAGCAGGUCAUGCUCCUCUUGCAGUGCCGGAAGGAUCCAGGGAGGGGAUGAGACCCCAUCCCCAGCCUCAGACCUGCCUCGCGCUGGCACGUUUUCACCCUAACAUGGGCUCUGGAAACUCAUUCAAGGAGGAUUCAGAAAGAACAAAUGUGCCGAGGCUCGCCCUCUUCAAGGGUCUCAAAUACAACUGCUGUUAGUGUUUGGACCCUGGCGUAGCUACCAGAAAGGGCGACAGCCCCUGCAUGACCCUGGAACACAGCUGGGCUCCCCUCCCUCCUGAAGCCCCCUCCCGAGUUGAGCCAGGGGGUGGGGGGAGGUGCUGGGAUGCGCAGUUUUCCAGCCUGCUUCCUGUUUGUGGCCUGCCAGGCAGAUUGCUGGCCUGGUACCAAGUGACCCCUGGCGUCUGCACUGGGCAGACCCCGCGUUCACUGCUCUGAACAGCCUAGCUGCUCCUGGGAGGACAGACCCUGCUAAGACACUGGCGGCAGCCCUUCCCCUGCACCAGAGCAGCUCCCAGGGAUGUCAUCAGACUUCCCCAAGAGGGCCCUCCUGACGGGACCUGGUUCCUCAGGCGUCCACACAGUCUGCUCCUGCCCACCCUUCCCUGUGGACUGAGGGAGCUCCACGCCCCCAGCCCCCGGAGCACUGGGAAGAGCCCUCCGAGAAGGGGUUCCUGUGCCACUUUCCAGCAUCUGGCCAUCUCCACCCCGAGGCUUACCACCCAGUCAGCCCAACUGCCCGGCUGCAUGGGGUGAGGGCCAGCAGCAGCUGCAGGCCUGCCCUUUGUCCCACACAGGCAGGUUCUGAGGAGCUCUCAGGACCAGCCAUCUUGUCACCUGCCCUUGUUGAAUUUUGAAAUUGUACUGUAACGACCUUUCAAAACACAGUGGAGCACACUAAAGUGACGUUUCCUGUUUCUCA